Molecule: ribosomal RNA, 550 nt
Filed under: uncultured bacterium
Lineage: Bacteria
Description: bacterial SSU rRNA
Rfam family: Bacterial small subunit ribosomal RNA
Source: RNAcentral
UAGGGAAUCUUCGGCAAUGGACGGAGGUCUGACCGAGCAACGCCGCGUGAGUGAAGAAGGUUUUCGGAUCGUAAAGCUCUGUUGUAAGAGAAGAACGAGUGUGAGAGUGGAAAGUUCACACUGUGACGGUAUCUUACCAGAAAGGGACGGCUAACUACGUGCCAGCAGCCGCGGUAAUACGUAGGUCCCGAGCGUUGUCCGGAUUUAUUGGGCGUAAAGCGAGCGCAGGCGGUUAGAUAAGUCUGAAGUUAAAGGCUGUGGCUUAACCAUAGUAGGCUUUGGAAACUGUUUAACUUGAGUGCAAGAGGGGAGAGUGGAAUUCCAUGUGUAGCGGUGAAAUGCGUAGAUAUAUGGAGGAACACCGGUGGCGAAAGCGGCUCUCUGGCUUGUAACUGACGCUGAGGCUCGAAAGCGUGGGGAGCAAACAGGAUUAGAUACCCUGGUAGUCCACGCUGUAAACGAUGAGUGCUAGGUGUUAGACCCUUUCCGGGGUUUAGUGCCGUAGCUAACGCAUUAAGCACUCCGCCUGGGGAGUACGACCGCAAGGUUG